AUGGGAGGCGCAGACGGAACCCGGCGCCUGCGCCAGUGCCUCCCCAGGUUGGAGCCCAGCGGACCAGCCAACCUCCGGGCCGAGCAACCUCAGGGAGUCCGGGGCUCCUCGUCCCGCUCCCGCUGUCUCCUCCGCCCCCGGCGGGCCCGCCAGCACAGGAAAGCGGCAGUCAGGAGGCCAAGGCCGGAGCCAAGGGCGGCCACUGACACCCCCUGGGCGAGGUCCAGGCGGGGUCCCCGCAGCGAGAAGGUGAUGCCCGUGGCAGCCGCUCCGACUAGCGUGGACACGGCGCCGAAAGGGAAGAUGCAGCGGUGCCAGGAGCUGCCAGCUCCGCCAGUGGCCAGUGCCAAGACGCGGAUUGGAAGAAGGAACCGUGAUGUCACUGGGGGACACUGGGGCCGUUAACCCUUUGGGGAGCCCUCCAACAAAGGCUAGGUAGUAGAAGACGGCUUCAGAAAGAUGCCAUAGCAAAGAUGAAAAACCCUGAGAACGGGUAAGGAGAUGGGGGCUAAAAGGGACCUCAGGACACAAAACAUCUCGCGGGGAAGGGAUCUUGGUCUAGAACAGAGCGCCAGAGCGGGGAAAGGACGUUUGAAGAAUUCUAAGCUCCUCGAUGAUUUAUACUGUGGGUCCUCACUCCAGUUACACAAGUGGCUACUUCUGGAAUUCCAGGUAGGUUGGUAAAUUACUGUGCCUGGAAAAUUCAUCCAAGACAGUCCUCCCUCCCUCGCCUAAUCCAGAUGCGAUGGUACUAACUGGGUCAUGAGCCUGACUUGUCCUCCUACAAGCUGACACCCAAAGGCAUACGGAAUGUGUGGGGGUGUUCUUGUCUCCCCCCAUGCCUUUUUUUGUUGCUAGAUAUGCUUUUAAAAGAUGGACUGUUGCAUGAUGGAAUAAGUACCAAACUGCUGAUAAGAUGUAGAAAUAUGUAGAAAGCUACCACUUCCAGUGACAACGACCUUGGGUCUUCCCCGUCCCUUCUCCCUGUCAUUCUAGAAUAAAUUACCUCAUCAAGAAUGCCCA
RNAcentral lists this long non-coding RNA (1023 nucleotides) under Monodelphis domestica (gray short-tailed opossum). Its description in RNAcentral is "lncRNA (ENSMODG00000037203.1)". The record is from RNAcentral. Lineage: Eukaryota; Metazoa; Chordata; Mammalia; Didelphimorphia; Didelphidae.